AUGACCUAAAACAAUGAAAGCCCUUCCUCUCUUCCAUCCUUGCGGCUCCUUGACCGCGCCAGCGGGAAUCAGGUAUAUCGGAUUAUU
RNAcentral lists this small RNA (87 nucleotides) under Cytobacillus oceanisediminis. RNAcentral's name for it is "Bacillus oceanisediminis BsrC". It matches the Rfam family "BsrC". From Rfam's summary of the family: The 301 nucleotide sequence from Kouji Nakamura has been trimmed to a highly conserved ~85 nucleotide long core to form this family. Lineage: Bacteria; Bacillati; Bacillota; Bacilli; Caryophanales; Bacillaceae. The record is from RNAcentral.